RNAcentral lists this ribosomal RNA (465 nucleotides) under Vreelandella stevensii. RNAcentral's name for it is "partial 16S ribosomal RNA". It matches the Rfam family "Bacterial small subunit ribosomal RNA", at positions 338 to 795 of the family's 1533-position model. The record is from RNAcentral. Lineage: Bacteria; Pseudomonadati; Pseudomonadota; Gammaproteobacteria; Oceanospirillales; Halomonadaceae.
CCUACGGGGGGCUGCAGUGGGGAAUAUUGGACAAUGGGGGGAACCCUGAUCCAGCCAUGCCGCGUGUGUGAAGAAGGCCCUCGGGUUGUAAAGCACUUUCAGUGAGGAAGAACGCCUGGUGGUUAAUACCCAUCAGGAAAGACAUCACUCACAGAAGAAGCACCGGCUAACUCCGUGCCAGCAGCCGCGGUAAUACGGAGGGUGCGAGCGUUAAUCGGAAUUACUGGGCGUAAAGCGCGCGUAGGUGGCUUGAUAAGCCGGUUGUGAAAGCCCCGGGCUCAACCUGGGAACGGCAUCCGGAACUGUCAAGCUAGAGUGCAGGAGAGGAAGGUAGAAUUCCCGGUGUAGCGGUGAAAUGCGUAGAGAUCGGGAGGAAUAGCAGUGGCGAAGGCGGCCUUCUGGACUGACACUGACACUGAGGUGCGAAAGCGUGGGUAGCAAACAGGAUUAGAUACCCUAGUAGUC